UGUUAAAAAUUCAUCCAAAUCUAUUGUUCAAAAAUGGUGUAGCCGACGGAAUAGCUAAACAGUUACAUGUGGUAUACCAUGUGUACCUACUGUUGACUUAUAGAGACUAGUUUUUGAUAGUGAAAAUGGAUGAAAUUUUUAACA
Molecule: non-coding RNA, 144 nt
Organism: Gossypium raimondii (Peruvian cotton)
Lineage: Eukaryota; Viridiplantae; Streptophyta; Magnoliopsida; Malvales; Malvaceae
Source: Rfam